CACCAAAAUGCAAAAGCACUUGUGCGGAUGUUUCAAAUCUCUAAAAGUCAAGCUAAAGCUAUCAUCAGUACUUGCCCUGACUGUCAGCAUGUGCAGCCUCUGUUUCUACAGGAGCAGUCAACCCCCGAGGUGCUGGAAUUAAGUGGGUCCCUGCCAAAAACAUCAAACCAUAUCACACCUCAGAACCUGUUGAUGAGCCCAGAACCGAGGAAGCAAGUAUGCAGACGUGAGCCGAACAGAGGGAUCCCGGGUCACGCCUGACGUUCCUUGUGCCUGACAUUCUUUGUGCAUCAGUGGAACCUGCAAACUCUAAUUUUGUGUUAAUGUUAUUUAUGAGUGUGUCAAUUGUAUGUUGAAUGUUUGUUUAACAGAGCUGAUUUUUGGCAAAUAUUUAGGUUAUUGUUUUUGUGGAGAACAAAAUUUUAAAAUUGAUAUAUCUGUAAAGAUUCUGCCAAAACUUAGCUCAUGAAAAAGAUGGAGCAAAUGCAAGUUGUAUGUUCGUAUUGGUGGAUUUUAAUUGUUUUUUGUCAUGCAGAUUUGCCUGUGGAACAAACAAAAACAAAUGUUUGGGUGACCUUAGCCAAGGCAGCCGGCUCAGAUACUAUAUGUUUGUCUAACUCAGAACCAGAAAAACCUUUUUCAACCUGUCUGGUUCAUGUGCCAGUAAAAGAAUUGCUUUUGGUCAAAAAUCAAUCCCAUGGUAAGCCAGGUGGAAUUGACAAUGGAAACAAUCCCUCAUUGAAUUGGAAUGUCUGGUCCAAAAAACUUCCCAAGGCAGCAUCUGAACCUCAAGAAUUAGAAAUGCUUGGCUCUUUAACCAUGGAUUUUUGCUUUACUUUCACAGCUAGUGCCUGGUGAAAAGGUGAUCCCCCAAAGUACAAUGUUACUCCUCAUUAUUUUGCAUAUAGAAAUUUGAGUUGUUGGUGUAAGUUUUCAAACAGUUGAGAUGUGCUUUCUGAGGCUGAUCAAUAUCCACGGCAAUUGGUUCAUUUGUGGAGACAGACCUUGGAAAGGCAUUCCAGCGCACCUUGAAUGUGGCCCUUGUAACAUUGGGAUGCUCACUAUAAUUGCACCCACUGCCAAAGCAGUGAUGAAAAAGAAACAAAGGAGAACGAGAGCUAUUCCUCAUUAUGAGGAGAACUGUCAGAGUGAUUUUAUGCCUUGGAAAGCUGCCAGAAGGAUUUCAGCAGGGUUGUUUUUACCCCAAUUGGCUUCAGCAAUGGCAUUGAAAUAAUUAGAUCGAGUUGGAUGCUGGCUGAGCAAACAAGCUAAUGUCACAUCCUCUGCAAUUAGUGAUAUGUUAACAGAUGUUGAUAGUGUUAGACAUGCUACUAUUCAAAAUAGACCAGCAAUUGAUUUUCUUUUAGUUGCACAAGGGCAUGGUUGUGAGAAAUUUGAAGGAUUGUGUUGUAUGAAUUUGUCCGAUCAUUCUGAAUCCAUUCACAGAAGCAUACAAAAACUGAAAGAUUUGACAGCUCAAAUUAAAGAAGACGGUGGUUCCUGGCUAGAUGAUUUGUUUCAAGAAUGGAGCUUUGCACCUUGGCUAAGACAAUUUUGCAAGAUAGGUCUUUAUGUAUUCAGUAUUCUGAUAUUGAUAUUGAUAGUAAUACCCUGCAUACUUCAGUGUGUGCGGCGAAUGAUGAACAAAACGGUCCGAGAAGUUUUUGUCAUAUAAGAGAGAGAAUUAGGAAGUAGAAGCACAGAGAGUGUUCGAAAUCUCACAGAAAUAGUGGAAAAAGGUGUAGGAAUGGAGGAAGGUUUUGAAUUAAGACCCUGGAAUCGACAAGAGUUUUUUGAACAAUGACUUGUAACUAUUGUCAGACGUGAUUCAUAUCUCUUUCAAGGACUGGGCCUUCACAGCAUUAAGUUGCUGUGCUGUAACAUAGCAAUGCUUAGGAUCAGCGUGAAUAGGCCUCCAGCAGAUAGGAAGCAGAAAUUUUACAGUAGAGCUAUGAAACGCAAGUAGUAAAUGACAAGAAAAUGAAGGUUUCUUUUUGAGUCAACAGAGAGGGGGGAUUGUUGGGAUUUAUAAAAUUAGAGGGUUUUGAGAAAGUGGUUAAAAAGGCCGGCCUCAGACACCAGACCUGUGAACAUUGCUAAUACAGCGAAAAUUUUUCUAAGCAGUAGAGCAGACGUAAGAAAUAGAACAAUAAGCUCCUGUGGUCUGUCUAUAUAGGUUGCAACAAGGUUAUUUAAUGUAUGUCUUUAGAAGGUUAGUAUGAAUGAGUCUCUGUGCUUUGUCUCUCAUAAACGAGCCAUUGUGUUAGAAAAUAAGUCCCUAUUGUGUUAACUACCAUUACGUGUGUUUCAUAUGAUUGGAUAGAAUUAUUGUCAAUAUGUUUUGCUGUAUGUGUGAUUGGCUGAAACCUAGGCUGAGAUGGCUUGUGCUACCCUGUAACGUGACGUUUCCUUGGCAUUCCAGUUGAAUCAGAGAGCUGUGAACAUACUGUCUCCAUUGUCCUAACAAUGUACUGAGACUGAUGUGUGAAAUAAACAGCUCACGACACAGA
Long non-coding RNA from Zonotrichia leucophrys gambelii, 2510 nucleotides. RefSeq lists it as uncharacterized. The record is from RefSeq and is a predicted model, not a curated record. The transcript is spliced from 2 exons. Lineage: Eukaryota; Metazoa; Chordata; Aves; Passeriformes; Passerellidae.